This 72-nucleotide transfer RNA is filed under the name Ictidomys tridecemlineatus (thirteen-lined ground squirrel). RNAcentral describes it as "Spermophilus tridecemlineatus (thirteen-lined ground squirrel) tRNA". It matches the Rfam family "tRNA". From Rfam's summary of the family: Transfer RNA (tRNA) molecules are approximately 80 nucleotides in length. The record is from Rfam by way of RNAcentral. Lineage: Eukaryota; Metazoa; Chordata; Mammalia; Rodentia; Sciuridae.
GGUGUUGUGGCUCAGAGGCAGAGUGCUUGCCUGGCAUGUGUGAGGCACUGGGUUCAAUUCUCAGCACCACAU